RNAcentral lists this long non-coding RNA (368 nucleotides) under Brassica rapa (field mustard). Its description in RNAcentral is "long non-coding RNA (BRAP_LNC004168)". The record is from RNAcentral. Lineage: Eukaryota; Viridiplantae; Streptophyta; Magnoliopsida; Brassicales; Brassicaceae.
UUUACUAGUUUAUACUACCUUUUUGAAACCAAGUUUGACUUUUAUCACCCUAAAUCAAAAUUCCUUAAAACACGCUUUAUACUUUAGAUAACGCACCAAAAUCACACAGAACACACACUUUUUAACUAGCUGCGACGUUUUUCGACCCCCAAAAGCCCAAGCGGUAUUGCUAAAUUAGCCCACUACAUAUAUCAAUAGUAUAGCACGCGAGUCUCUUCUAUUUCUCAAUUCCAAUUUAUUUUAGGCCCAUCCUAAUAUUUGACAAUUUAACGAACUCCUUGAUGAUGUCUUUUUUUUUUUUUUUCUUUUUUAUCAAACCAUUCCAUUUCAUUAAAACUUUAAACAACAGAGUUUCUAGUUCCUAAAGA